RNAcentral lists this unclassified non-coding RNA (325 nucleotides) under soil metagenome. RNAcentral's name for it is "partial contains 5.8S ribosomal RNA, internal transcribed spacer 2, and large subunit ribosomal RNA". The stretch from base 1 to 120 matches the Rfam family "5.8S ribosomal RNA", at positions 35 to 154 of the family's 154-position model. The record is from RNAcentral.
GAUGAAGAACGCAGUGAAAUGCGAUAAGUAAUGCGAAUUGCAGAAUUCAGUGAGUCAUCGAAUCUUUGAACGCACAUUGCGCCCUGUGGUAUUCCGCAGGGCAUGCCUGUUCGAGCGUCAUUUCAACCCUCAAGCCUCGCUUGGUGUUGGGCCCUGCCCGCCGCGGCCGGCCCUAAAGAUAGUGGCGGCGCCGCCUGGCCCUCAGCGUAGUACAGCUCUCGCUCCAGGGUCCGGCGGCAGCCUGCCAGAACCCCCCAACUCUGUGGUUGACCUCGGAUCAGGUAGGGAUACCCGCUGAACUUAAGCAUAUCAAUAAGCGGAGGGA